GACGAACGCUGGCGGCGUGCCUAAUACAUGCAAGUCGAGCGCAGGAAACUGACGGAACUCUUCGGAGGGAAGGCAGCGGAAUGAGCGGCGGACGGGUGAGUAACACGUAAGGAACCUGCCUCAAGGAUUGGGAUAACUCCGAGAAAUCGGAGCUAAUACCGGAUAGUUCAUCGGACCGCAUGGUCCGUUGAUGAAAGGCGCUCCGGCGUCACCUUGAGAUGGCCUUGCGGUGCAUUAGCUAGUUGGUGGGGUAACGGCCCACCAAGGCGACGAUGCAUAGCCGACCUGAGAGGGUGGUCGGCCCCACUGGGACUGAGACACGGCCCAGACUCCUACGGGAGGCAGCAGUAGGGAAUCUUCCACAAUGGACGAAAGUCUGAUGCAGCAACGCCGCGUGAGUGAUGAAGGUUUUCGGAUCGUAAAACUCUGUUGUGAGGGAAGAACACGUACGAGAGGGAAUGCUCGUACCUUGACGGUACCUUACGAGAAAGCCACGGCUAACUACGUGCCAGCCGCCGCGGUAA
RNAcentral lists this ribosomal RNA (524 nucleotides) under uncultured bacterium. RNAcentral describes it as "partial 16S ribosomal RNA". It matches the Rfam family "Bacterial small subunit ribosomal RNA", at positions 28 to 523 of the family's 1533-position model. The record is from RNAcentral.